RNAcentral lists this transfer RNA (66 nucleotides) under Camelus bactrianus (Bactrian camel). It matches the Rfam family "tRNA". From Rfam's summary of the family: Transfer RNA (tRNA) molecules are approximately 80 nucleotides in length. Their secondary structure includes four short double-helical elements and three loops (D, anti-codon, and T loops). Further hydrogen bonds mediate the characteristic L-shaped molecular structure. tRNAs have two regions of fundamental functional importance: the anti-codon, which is responsible for specific mRNA codon recognition, and the 3' end, to which the tRNAs corresponding amino acid is attached (by aminoacyl-tRNA synthetases). tRNAs cope with the degeneracy of the genetic code in two manners: having more than one tRNA (with a specific anti-codon) for a particular amino acid; and 'wobble' base-pairing, i.e. permitting non-standard base-pairing at the 3rd anti-codon position. Lineage: Eukaryota; Metazoa; Chordata; Mammalia; Artiodactyla; Camelidae. RNAcentral also lists the same sequence under 1 other name. The record is from Rfam by way of RNAcentral.
GGUAUAGCUCAAGUGGUAGAGCACAUGGUUAGCAUGCAUGAGGUCCUGGGUUCAAUUCCCAGUACC